CUAAUGUGGAUACCCCGGGAGGUCACUCUCCCUGGGCUCUGUCCAGGUGGUGCAGGGGAGCACAGGGCUCAGCCCAGUGAUGUACAGUACCAUUCCACAACGUUGGAGAUGAAGCCAGGCUCUGGAGCCUGCACCUGCAUAUUCCUACAGCUUCUCUGAGUCUUACUGACAAUGACUGAGGAGACAAACCAUGCAGGAAAGUUUU
Molecule: small nucleolar RNA, 205 nt
Filed under: Dasypus novemcinctus (nine-banded armadillo)
Lineage: Eukaryota; Metazoa; Chordata; Mammalia; Cingulata; Dasypodidae
Description: Small nucleolar RNA SNORA73 family (ENSDNOG00000026511.1)
Rfam family: Small nucleolar RNA SNORA73 family
About the family: U17 (SNORA73A and SNORA73B) also known as E1 belongs to the H/ACA class of small nucleolar RNAs (snoRNAs). Vertebrate U17 is intron-encoded and ranges in length from 200-230 nucleotides, longer than most snoRNAs. It is one of the most abundant snoRNAs in human cells and is essential for the cleavage of pre-rRNA within the 5' external transcribed spacer (ETS).
Source: RNAcentral